GAUCAUUAAAGAGUUCUAUAACUCCCAAACCCAUGUGAACAUACCUUACGUUGCCUCGGCAGGUCACGCCUACCCCGUAGCGUCCUACCCUGUAGGACCUACCCGGUAGACGUGGGUAAGCCUGCCGGCGGCCCACGAAACUCUGUUUAGUAUUGAAUUCUGAACCUAUAACUAAAUAAGUUAAAACUUUCAACAACGGAUCUCUUGGUUCUGGCAUCGAUGAAGAACGCAGCGAAAUGCGAUAAGUAAUGUGAAUUGCAGAAUUCAGUGAAUCAUCGAAUCUUUGAACGCACAUUGCGCCCAUUAGUAUUCUAGUGGGCAUGCCUGUUCGAGCGUCAUUUCAACCCUUAAGCCUCUGUUGCUUAGUGUUGGGAGCCUACGGUAAUAGUAGCUCCUGAAAGUUAGUGGCGGAGUCGGUUCACACUCUAGACGUAGUAGAUUUUAUCUCGCCUAUCAGUUGGACCGGUCCCUGCCGUAAAACCCCCUAAUUUCUAAAGGUUGACCUCGGAUCAGGUAGGAAUACCCGCUGAACUUAAGCAUAUCAAUAAGCGGAGGAAAAGAAACCAACAGGGAUUGCCCUAGUAACGGCGAGUGAAGCGGCAACAGCUCAAAUUUGAAAUCUGGCCCUCGGGUCCGAGUUGUAAUUUGUAGAGGAUGCUUUCGGCGCGGUGCCUUCCGAGUUCCCUGGAACGGGACGCCUUAGAGGGUGAGAGCCCCGUACGGUUGGACACCAAGCCUCUGUAAAGCUCCUUCGACGAGUCGAGUAGUUUGGGAAUGCUGCUCUAAAUGGGAGGUAAAUUUCUUCUAAAGCUAAAUAUUGGCCAGAGACCGAUAGCGCACAAGUAGAGUGAUCGAAAGAUGAAAAGCACUUUGAAAAGAGGGUUAAAUAGCACGUGAAAUUGUUGAAAGGGAAGCGUUUGCGACCAGACCUUUUCCUAGCGGAUCAUCCGGUGUUCUCACCGGUGCACUUCGCUAGGUUUAGGCCAGCAUCGGUUUCUGUAGGGGGAUAAAAGCUCUGGGAACGUAGCUCCUUCGGGAGUGUUAUAGCCCUCUGCAUAAUACCCUUACGGGGACCGAGGACCGC
RNAcentral lists this unclassified non-coding RNA (1084 nucleotides) under leaf metagenome. Its description in RNAcentral is "partial contains internal transcribed spacer 1, 5.8S ribosomal RNA, internal transcribed spacer 2, and large subunit ribosomal RNA". The stretch from base 500 to 1084 matches the Rfam family "Eukaryotic large subunit ribosomal RNA", at positions 1 to 596 of the family's 3401-position model. The record is from RNAcentral.